Molecule: long non-coding RNA, 452 nt
Filed under: Mytilus galloprovincialis (Mediterranean mussel)
Lineage: Eukaryota; Metazoa; Mollusca; Bivalvia; Mytilida; Mytilidae
Source: RNAcentral
GCCGGAUCACUAUCAUUAUGUUGAGCGUUUCGCGACAAAAGUCACAGGCUUGACAAAAUUAUAAGAAGUUGUGAUAUGAUUGCCAAUUACACAACUCUUCACUAGAACAAAUGUCAUAAAAAUUAAUAAUUAUAGGUCACCUAUCAACCAUGAGCAAAACCCACAAGACAUAGUCAGCUAUAAAAGGAAAUGAGAAAUGUAAAACAUUUCAUACAUGAAAACAAAUGACCUGAAUUAAAGUAAUGAACAAAAAACAAAUAUAACAUACAGCAACAAACUACAAAGAAUUAAUUUACCAGCUCCUGACUAGGGACAGGCACAUGCAGAAUGUCGUGGUUAAAAUAGUUCAAUAACUGAGAUUGGAUUAACCUCUUAAAUCUUUUAAAGCUAAAGCUAGUAGGACAUAUUUCUGAUUUCAUUUUGAAACCAAGUUCAAGGUUAAGAUCAAGAGA